AAAAGAACUCUAUAAAACAUAAGAUGGCAAAGAGGUGGAAUAAAAAUUGAUGCUAGCAGUUCAGCUUUGCCUAA
Molecule: unclassified non-coding RNA, 74 nt
Organism: Saimiri boliviensis boliviensis (Bolivian squirrel monkey)
Lineage: Eukaryota; Metazoa; Chordata; Mammalia; Primates; Cebidae
Source: Ensembl